RNAcentral lists this long non-coding RNA (2335 nucleotides) under Triticum aestivum (bread wheat). RNAcentral describes it as "long non-coding RNA (TAES_LNC012440)". Lineage: Eukaryota; Viridiplantae; Streptophyta; Magnoliopsida; Poales; Poaceae. The record is from RNAcentral.
CUAGAUGACCCGGUUGCGCCAAUGGCGCAAGAAGCAAAUUAGAAAGAAUGUUAGUAGUGAGUAAGUAAAAGAUGUAACUGGAAAUAUAAUACAAUGUGGAUUGUAUUACAUCAUGUAUUAACCACAAAUCAUGAAAUCAAUACCAGAGAACCAAAUAAUGUCACCACCUCUGUACUAACAACCAACAUUUUAGCAUAAGGAGUAUCACAGGAGUGUUUAAUUGCACAUCAAGAGUAUCACAAUUACAACUAAAGAGGCAUUGUCCUCACUGCUGUCCCUGAGCCCUUCACAGAGUUUCAAGCCUCGCAACUUCUUCCUCCAGCUCUGCACAUGACCCUCGGUUACGAACCUCAUCCCUCAACUAUGAUUAUUUCAAGAUGAAAUCAACAUGCUAUUUCUCUCACAUGGAACAUGUUUAGAAUUUAGUCAGUCUCGCUAAUCUUUCAGCUACAAAGGCAGAAAGAAAAAUGGCAUAAUCAAUAACUAAAAAAAAACUGGAACAAUAAUGCUUGUAACAAUAAUGGCUAUAUUUUUAUCAUCAAAUUUCAACAAUAGAUAUCUCUCCUCCUAUAUCCCUCAAAGAGCAAAAAUAACAAAAUGAACUUUGAUGUACACAAACACAUUCAAAUAAGCAAAUCAGAGCAAGGCAAUAUGCAUCAUACCUUCAGGAUGCCAAGCGGUCGAUUAGUAAUGCUAAAAUGAACCCAUCAGCAUACCUCCCACCUAAUUUUAUUGGCCCUAUCUCUUCUUUCUCAAGUCUGCACUCGUUCAACCAGUAAUCCAAUUAGUUAUACAUGCACACAAUAAUCAAUAGUUUCCCUUCUCCCUAUUUCUAAUUUGGAAAAAUCACUAUAUUUUUCCCCUAUUUGUAGUUUACACUGAAAUCUGAAACCAGUGUGUGCAAGUAUGUUUAAACACCCAGCCAAAAAUCUGAGAAAAGCAAAAUAAGAAUUUGAAUGCCCAAGGAAAAUUAAACUUGCUCUCUCUCCCUAUUCUCAGCCAUACAUGCACCAGACAACAUAUAUAUAUAUAUAUAUAUAUAUAUAUAUAGAGAGAGAGAGAGAGAGAGAGCGAGAGACGAUCAAAUAAUUUUAUAGGUCCUCCUUGACUUGGCCGCUUCAAGCUGUGCUAGAAUCCAUGGGAUGGCAGAACACCUUUUUUAGUACAAGCACACUGCAAGCCACCAUCCACCCUUGCUUAUUAAUGAAAUAAAAUAAAGUAUUCCAAGAACAUGGAUCAGUUAUAAAAAGUACCGAUAUCAUGUAUGCAUCGUUCUGAUGCAGAGGCCGGGGAUCUCCCCCUUUUCGAAAAAAAAGUAUAUAAUACAAAAAUAAAUAUUCUUUGGAAGGAUAUAGUCAUAGAUAUAUCAAAUAGACAUAGUAUACGUUCCAAUGAUAAUGUCAUACCUGUAGAAGAGACAUAUCCUCAAGAAACGGUGCUCCAAAUGAAUAUUGCCAUAUUUGUCCAUAGUAAAUAAUCCAUUACAGCAGAAAUCAGAAGCCAACAUCAGUGUGGUUCGCAAUAAGAGGAGGCCAUUCUGUUCAUGCCUAGCAGUAGCACAACAGCGACAUGAAGACAACCUACUUUACAUGGCAAAAGAUCCAAGUAAGAAGAAAAUCUAAUGUCAUAUAUGGAUACACUUGAGUUGUUAUAAAUACUUAGGAAUUCAGGAUGGCAAAUUUAAGCAAGAAAAACACACUGGAGCUGUUAUAUUUACUUAGGAAUUCAGAUUAUUGUGUUUCCUAUAGAGGCCCUAUAACCUGAAUAAACGUAGCUGCACAUAAGAUCAAGUAAAAAAAAGCGUUAGUAAAUUCAUGAAAGGAAGAUGUGAAGAUAAAAGUCAUGACAGAACUGUCCAGAUUUUGUAUCAGCCAGUCAUAUAUACAGGACCAAGAAGACUGCACCCAAAGUUUGAUAUUUCAAUCAGCUUAAUUAAUAAUUAUUUGGCACGCAUCUUUGACACAGCACUGCCUUUAACUGUGUUCUGCGCCACAGAAAACACAAACUAAAAUUGAUAAAGUUGAGACAAAUAAGGGUACAUAUAUUGCAUUAGUAAACAAAUAACAAUAGAAUGUACUUUUAUGUAGAAUUAAAAGUGUGGAGAGAAAAUAAAUAAACCCGAGGGAAAACUAUCUAUUAGUCCUCAUAAAUCAAAACACAACAUCUUCACGCUUUCUCAGUCAACAGUCUACUCAAAUGUAAUUAAUAUAUAGCAGAUCAAUGACAAAAACACGUGCCAAAACAUGCCGACCAAAAUAAAGAGGUAGAAAGCCUAUUUUAAAUCCAUGACUGGUUACAAAGUUGCAUCAACCUACUACAUUAAAUAUAUAAUGGC